Molecule: ribosomal RNA, 1050 nt
Filed under: Zenopontonia soror
Lineage: Eukaryota; Metazoa; Arthropoda; Malacostraca; Decapoda; Palaemonidae
Description: LSU rRNA
Rfam family: Eukaryotic large subunit ribosomal RNA
Source: RNAcentral
GAAGGGGACCAGCCCAGCGCAUAACCUCGUGGUCCGUAGCCGGCCGUCGAGGGGUGUUGCGUUUCGGUGGAUCCGUACCGCUCGAGCUGCUCACCGCCUAAGUCAUUGCUUGAAUGCAGCCCCAAGGAGGGUGGUAGGCCCGUGUGGCGGCGCCUGUAAAAAGGUCCGAGGCAGCUUGGGCGGAGGGGUCUUUACCGUAGAGUCGGGUUGCUUAGUACUGCAGCCCUAAGUAGGUGGUAAACUCCAUCUAAGGCUAAAUACAACCACGAGUCCGAUAUUUGACAAGUACCGUGAGGGAAAGCUGAAAAGGACUCUGAAGAGAGAGUUCAAGAGGACGUGAAACCAUUAGAAGCUCAAACGGGUGGAACCGUGAAGGUCGAAAGAGGGGAUUCAGCCGGCCGGUCUUGGGCGGCGGGUGCGGUACAAGAUUAUUUCAGUGUGAGGACCCGGCGUAAACGUGUGUUGCCGUGGCCCCGUGCCUGCCGACCUGAGCCCUGUCGGCUUAGUUCUCCCUCGAGUAGUGGUCGUCGCGACCCGCUGGGCGGGCCCCGAGGGCCGCGCCGGACUGGUAGCCUGCACUUUGUUGGAGGCGAUGACCGGCUGCGGUACUGACUGGGCUUGCCCGGCGGUCACUGCAAGGAGGCCGCCUCGCGCGGCCUCUCGCGACGUGAAAGGGAUUGGUAAUCCACCCGACCCGUCUUGAAACACGGACCAAGGAGUCCAACAUGUGCGCGAGUCUAAGGGUGUACUAAAUCCGAAGGCGAAAUGAAAGUGAGCCCCUUGUGGGCAGGCCGAUCCCCUGUCGGCUCGGGGGCCGGAGGCCUUGCGGCGUGAGUUAAUUUCCGCUGUUCGUGCCGUCGGUCGCUGGGUUGGCGGCCGGUUCCUUUCGGGGAGCCGGAGAUGGGGCGCAGGCCGAGGACUUGCCAUUGUGCGGCGCGGGGAACGGGGUUUCGGCCUUUAUCCCGACGUCCGUCGGCAAGUACCUGAGAGCGCAGCCGUUGGGACCCGAAAGAUGGUGAACUAUGCCUGGCGAGGACGAAGCCAGAGGAA